CAUGAUGUUACGGAAGUCGGGGGAGAGGAGUUGGUCAUGGUGAUGUUUCAAAGCCAGAGCCACACACAUCCUGAGUUUCUGCUUUCUUAUAGACAGGUUUUGACUACAAAAAGCUGUGGAAGAGCUGCAUGAGUUCUGACAUUAUGGAGAGGAGAGGGAUGAUUUCUAGCUGCGGAGGAAGAAUUCCAAGAAUUUGGUGGCAUCUGAGCUACAUCUCAAAAGACGAACAAUGAAUGCAUGAAAUUCAAAAGUACAGAUGGGGUAAAGGACGGGACUCUGAAGAUACAAAAAGCGGCUUAGAAGCACUCAGUCAGAAGCCAGCAACAGACCGAUGAAUUUGAAGGG
This is a long non-coding RNA of Fukomys damarensis (Damara mole-rat), 345 nucleotides long. RefSeq lists it as uncharacterized. The transcript is spliced from 3 exons. Lineage: Eukaryota; Metazoa; Chordata; Mammalia; Rodentia; Bathyergidae. The record is from RefSeq and is a predicted model, not a curated record.